UUCCUAGGCAUUCACCAUAGACUCUUAUUACUUUGACCAUAUUUUUAUCUUCCAUCUCUAUUUUGCCAAUUUGUUUAUACAACAUAGAAUAAUAUAUAUCUUUGUUUAAUCCAUGUCAAUAUAUAUUUUAUUUUUUAUAUUAUUUGAAUAAAACAUUCAAAAACAUGAACAUCUAAAAACAUAAAAAAUAAAAUCAAUGUUUAAAGUAUAAAACAAAAACCCUGGCAACAACUUACUCUCCCGCGAACUCGCAGA
Molecule: unclassified non-coding RNA, 255 nt
Filed under: uncultured Borreliella sp.
Lineage: Bacteria; Pseudomonadati; Spirochaetota; Spirochaetia; Spirochaetales; Borreliaceae
Description: partial 5S-23S ribosomal RNA intergenic spacer
Source: RNAcentral